ACUGCAGGCUCGGCUCGGUGCAUAGUAACACCCAAAUAUAAAAUAUACCAUGCCAAGCUUAAGUAGGACUCGGUAUGAUCCAAUUCUUCAUGAAUUGAGUUUUUUGGGUUCUGGGAUUCUAUCAAUAAGCCAUUUGCCAAAUUCUUCAUGGCUGGAACAUUGACGUGCUUUUUUCGUUUUGAAUUAAUUAGUUAGUGGGGAAGUGUUGUAUUUUGUGGCAUGCAUUUUCUGACUUCAAGUUUCUGGUAUUGGGAAUGAAAGUGAAAUGAGGUGGUGUUCGGCACUGAUUGAGUGUUCAAAACUAAUGAAGGGAACAUACAUUUCUCUUCUCAAAAGCUGCAAAUCCAUGUCCCAAUUGAAGCAAAUUCAGGCCCACAUAUUCUGUGUUGGCCUUCAACAAGACAGAGACACCCUCAACAAGCUCAUGGCCUUUUCUAUGGACUCAUCACUAGGGGAUUUUAACUAUGCAAACAGAAUCUUCAACUACAUUCAUGACCCCUCUUUGUUUAUCUACAACCUCAUGAUCAAGGCCUUUGUGAAAAGCGGUAGUUUUAGGAGUGCCAUUUCUCUUUUUCAGCAGCUGAGGGAACAUGGUGUGUGGCCUGAUAACUACACCUACCCUUAUGUUUUGAAGGGUAUUGGUUGCAUUGGGGAGGUUAGGGAAGGGGAAAAGGUUCAUGCUUUUGUGGUUAAAACUGGCCUUGAGUUUGACCCUUAUGUGUGUAACUCCUUCAUGGAUAUGUAUGCUGAGUUGGGCCUGGUUGAGGGGUUCACCCAGGUGUUUGAGGAAAUGCCUGACAGGGAUGCAGUUUCUUGGAACAUCAUGAUUUCUGGUUAUGUCAGAUGCAAGAGGUUUGAGGAGGCUGUUGAUGUUUACCGGCGAAUGUGGACGGAGAGCAAUGAAAAGCCCAAUGAAGCCACGGUUGUGAGCACUCUGUCGGCUUGUGCAGUGUUGAGAAAUUUGGAGCUUGGCAAGGAAAUUCAUGAUUACAUUGCAAGUGAACUGGACCUUACUACUAUAAUGGGGAAUGCUUUGUUGGACAUGUAUUGUAAGUGUGGGCAUGUGAGCGUGGCCAGGGAGAUUUUUGAUGCAAUGACCGUGAAGAAUGUGAAUUGUUGGACCAGUAUGGUAACUGGGUAUGUGAUCUGUGGUCAGUUGGAUCAAGCUAGAAAUUUGUUUGAGAGGAGUCCAAGUAGGGAUAUUGUUCUUUGGACAGCUAUGAUUAAUGGGUAUGUGCAAUUUAAUCGUUUUGAAGAGACAAUUGCAUUAUUUGGGGAGAUGCAGAUCAGAGGUGUGAAACCAGAUAAGUUCAUUGUGGUUACUCUCCUUACAGGUUGUGCUCAAUCGGGAGCUCUGGAGCAGGGCAAGUGGAUUCAUAAUUACAUAGAUGAAAACAGAAUCAAGGUGGAUGCUGUGGUUGGUACUGCCCUUAUUGAAAUGUAUGCUAAAUGUGGUUGCAUAGAGAAAUCUUUCGAAAUUUUUAAUGGAUUGAAGGAAAAGGAUACUACCUCAUGGACUUCAAUUAUUUGUGGGCUGGCCAUGAAUGGUAAACCAAGUGAAGCACUUGAAUUGUUUAAAGCAAUGCAAACAUGUGGGUUAAAACCUGAUGAUAUUACUUUUGUUGCUGUUUUAAGUGCUUGUAGUCAUGCAGGAUUGGUUGAAGAAGGCCGCAAGUUAUUUCAUUCCAUGUCAAGUAUGUAUCACAUUGAGCCAAAUUUAGAGCACUAUGGGUGUUUCAUUGACCUUCUUGGUCGAGCCGGACUUUUACAAGAGGCAGAGGAGUUGGUGAAGAAGUUACCAGCUCAAAACAAUGAAAUAAUAGUUCCACUCUAUGGAGCUUUGCUGAGUGCCUGCAGAACUUAUGGCAACAUUGAUAUGGGUGAAAGGCUUGCUACAGCACUGGCAAAAGUUAAAUCCAGUGAUUCAAGUCUUCAUACACUUCUUGCUAGCAUUUAUGCUUCUGCUGACAGAUGGGAAGAUGUGAGAAAGGUGAGAAAUAAAAUGAAAGAUCUGGGAAUCAAAAAGGUGCCAGGAUAUAGUGCCAUUGAGGUGGAUGGCAAGUGGCAACAGAGGUUAAGUGAGGGCCCUUUCCCAUUUCCGGACAAAAAUUGGUCUUCCUGCAGGGGAUAGGUAAUCGACAGCUGAUUUUUAAUUUGAAUCAUCAAUUUUUAACUGGUAAAUGCAAUAUGGAAGUUUCACAAUUCAAAUGUUUUAUUUGGAUCAUGCAACUAUUCAAUUCCAUAAACUUUUCCUACAAUCCCUGAAUACACAAAGUCCCAUGUUUAUGGACUAUGGAUGAAAAUUAAUGGCUACUAUCUAUUGGGGUCGAUGGAGAACUCAAGUAAUGGCUGCUGUCCUACAGCCAAGAGAAUCUGAUAUUGUAAGCGAAAGUGCCAGAUUUGAACAUAGGCUCCUAUUGAUUUAUACUUCACUCUUCUUGCUUGGAGUAAGCUUAUCUCCAAAUGUUUGCUGUAUUCUCAGCAAAUACCAUCCUCAGUUCCACUUUGGCAUUAUAACACAGACCGUGUCUUCUCUAUUCAGAAUUUCAGAUUAUUUCAAUAGUGUCAGAGAUUAUAGGUAUUCUCCACAGAAGCUGGGUAAGAUCUCUAAAACGCUGAGAUGAACAAGGUUAAUGCUGAAGAUGAGAAACGCAGUCCACACCUUUGACAUCAGUAAAUGGAGGUACCUUCCAUAAUAUAUACAGUUUCUCAGGAUGAUGAAGCAGAGGAAACUCGUGAAAUUGAACCUCAACAAGAAAAUUCUGCAUCCGAACUUGCGAAGGUUUUCCUUGCUUCUGAUAAAGCAAACCCCGCUCAAUCCAGGAAUGUUAUCCAUGUCUCACCAUUCAAAUUCAGUUUCCUUCACAAGCAUGUAUGAUACAGAAGUUAGUUAAGCAUGCGUGUGGAGUCUGUGCUUCCCCCAGUUGUUCCUAGUUUACCUCUAUAAUUACAGAACCAACUAUACUUUUCACAUGAAACAUAUCUUUGCUAAACGCCAAUCCUCUAUCUAAAA
Glycine soja is the source of this 3013-nucleotide RNA transcript. It is a transcript of the gene named pentatricopeptide repeat-containing protein At1g31430-like, with no coding region annotated. NCBI's taxonomy places the organism in Eukaryota, Viridiplantae, Streptophyta, Magnoliopsida, Fabales, Fabaceae. The record is from RefSeq and is a predicted model, not a curated record. The transcript is spliced from 3 exons.